Molecule: ribosomal RNA, 2923 nt
Filed under: Escherichia coli O157:H7 str. EDL933
Lineage: Bacteria; Pseudomonadati; Pseudomonadota; Gammaproteobacteria; Enterobacterales; Enterobacteriaceae
Description: LSU rRNA
Rfam family: Bacterial large subunit ribosomal RNA
Source: RNAcentral
GGUUAAGCGACUAAGCGUACACGGUGGAUGCCCUGGCAGUCAGAGGCGAUGAAGGACGUGCUAAUCUGCGAUAAGCGUCGGUAAGGUGAUAUGAACCGUUAUAACCGGCGAUUUCCGAAUGGGGAAACCCAGUGUGAUUCGUCACACUAUCAUUAACUGAAUCCAUAGGUUAAUGAGGCGAACCGGGGGAACUGAAACAUCUAAGUACCCCGAGGAAAAGAAAUCAACCGAGAUUCCCCCAGUAGCGGCGAGCGAACGGGGAGGAGCCCAGAGCCUGAAUCAGUGUGUGUGUUAGUGGAAGCGUCUGGAAAGGCGCGCGAUACAGGGUGACAGCCCCGUACACAAAAAUGCACAUACUGUGAGCUCGAUGAGUAGGGCGGGACACGUGGUAUCCUGUCUGAAUAUGGGGGGACCAUCCUCCAAGGCUAAAUACUCCUGACUGACCGAUAGUGAACCAGUACCGUGAGGGAAAGGCGAAAAGAACCCCGGCGAGGGGAGUGAAAAAGAACCUGAAACCGUGUACGUACAAGCAGUGGGAGCCUCUUUUAUGGGGUGACUGCGUACCUUUUGUAUAAUGGGUCAGCGACUUAUAUUCUGUAGCAAGGUUAACCGAAUAGGGGAGCCGAAGGGAAACCGAGUCUUAACCGGGCGUUAAGUUGCAGGGUAUAGACCCGAAACCCGGUGAUCUAGCCAUGGGCAGGUUGAAGGUUGGGUAACACUAACUGGAGGACCGAACCGACUAAUGUUGAAAAAUUAGCGGAUGACUUGUGGCUGGGGGUGAAAGGCCAAUCAAACCGGGAGAUAGCUGGUUCUCCCCGAAAGCUAUUUAGGUAGCGCCUCGUGAAUUCAUCUCCGGGGGUAGAGCACUGUUUCGGCAAGGGGGUCAUCCCGACUUACCAACCCGAUGCAAACUGCGAAUACCGGAGAAUGUUAUCACGGGAGACACACGGCGGGUGCUAACGUCCGUCGUGAAGAGGGAAACAACCCAGACCGCCAGCUAAGGUCCCAAAGUCAUGGUUAAGUGGGAAACGAUGUGGGAAGGCCCAGACAGCCAGGAUGUUGGCUUAGAAGCAGCCAUCAUUUAAAGAAAGCGUAAUAGCUCACUGGUCGAGUCGGCCUGCGCGGAAGAUGUAACGGGGCUAAACCAUGCACCGAAGCUGCGGCAGCGACACUGUGUGUUGUUGGGUAGGGGAGCGUUCUGUAAGCCUGUGAAGGUGUACUGUGAGGUAUGCUGGAGGUAUCAGAAGUGCGAAUGCUGACAUAAGUAACGAUAAAGCGGGUGAAAAGCCCGCUCGCCGGAAGACCAAGGGUUCCUGUCCAACGUUAAUCGGGGCAGGGUGAGUCGACCCCUAAGGCGAGGCCGAAAGGCGUAGUCGAUGGGAAACAGGUUAAUAUUCCUGUACUUGGUGUUACUGCGAAGGGGGGACGGAGAAGGCUAUGUUGGCCGGGCGACGGUUGUCCCGGUUUAAGCGUGUAGGCUGGUUUUCCAGGCAAAUCCGGAAAAUCAAGGCUGAGGCGUGAUGACGAGGCACUACGGUGCUGAAGCAACAAAUGCCCUGCUUCCAGGAAAAGCCUCUAAGCAUCAGGUAACAUCAAAUCGUACCCCAAACCGACACAGGUGGUCAGGUAGAGAAUACCAAGGCGCUUGAGAGAACUCGGGUGAAGGAACUAGGCAAAAUGGUGCCGUAACUUCGGGAGAAGGCACGCUGAUAUGUAGGUGAAGUCCCUCGCGGAUGGAGCUGAAAUCAGUCGAAGAUACCAGCUGGCUGCAACUGUUUAUUAAAAACACAGCACUGUGCAAACACGAAAGUGGACGUAUACGGUGUGACGCCUGCCCGGUGCCGGAAGGUUAAUUGAUGGGGUCAGCGCAAGCGAAGCUCUUGAUCGAAGCCCCGGUAAACGGCGGCCGUAACUAUAACGGUCCUAAGGUAGCGAAAUUCCUUGUCGGGUAAGUUCCGACCUGCACGAAUGGCGUAAUGAUGGCCAGGCUGUCUCCACCCGAGACUCAGUGAAAUUGAACUCGCUGUGAAGAUGCAGUGUACCCGCGGCAAGACGGAAAGACCCCGUGAACCUUUACUAUAGCUUGACACUGAACAUUGAGCCUUGAUGUGUAGGAUAGGUGGGAGGCUUUGAAGUGUGGACGCCAGUCUGCAUGGAGCCGACCUUGAAAUACCACCCUUUAAUGUUUGAUGUUCUAACGUGGACCCGUGAUCCGGGUUGCGGACAGUGUCUGGUGGGUAGUUUGACUGGGGCGGUCUCCUCCUAAAGAGUAACGGAGGAGCACGAAGGUUGGCUAAUCCUGGUCGGACAUCAGGAGGUUAGUGCAAUGGCAUAAGCCAGCUUGACUGCGAGCGUGACGGCGCGAGCAGGUGCGAAAGCAGGUCAUAGUGAUCCGGUGGUUCUGAAUGGAAGGGCCAUCGCUCAACGGAUAAAAGGUACUCCGGGGAUAACAGGCUGAUACCGCCCAAGAGUUCAUAUCGACGGCGGUGUUUGGCACCUCGAUGUCGGCUCAUCACAUCCUGGGGCUGAAGUAGGUCCCAAGGGUAUGGCUGUUCGCCAUUUAAAGUGGUACGCGAGCUGGGUUUAGAACGUCGUGAGACAGUUCGGUCCCUAUCUGCCGUGGGCGCUGGAGAACUGAGGGGGGCUGCUCCUAGUACGAGAGGACCGGAGUGGACGCAUCACUGGUGUUCGGGUUGUCAUGCCAAUGGCACUGCCCGGUAGCUAAAUGCGGAAGAGAUAAGUGCUGAAAGCAUCUAAGCACGAAACUUGCCCCGAGAUGAGUUCUCCCUGACCCUUUAAGGGUCCUGAAGGAACGUUGAAGACGACGACGUUGAUAGGCCGGGUGUGUAAGCGCAGCGAUGCGUUGAGCUAACCGGUACUAAUGAACCGUGAGGCUUAACCUUACAACGCCGAAGGUGUUUUG